RNAcentral lists this long non-coding RNA (411 nucleotides) under Salvia miltiorrhiza (redroot sage). RNAcentral's name for it is "long non-coding RNA (SMIL_LNC001552)". Lineage: Eukaryota; Viridiplantae; Streptophyta; Magnoliopsida; Lamiales; Lamiaceae. The record is from RNAcentral.
AAAUUUGAAAUUCAAAUUUUGCCAUGAUUUCUUUCCUUAGAAACCAAAAUACUGCCAUAACCGUCACUCUUACCUUCUUUAAACCCCUCAACCCACAAUUUUCACCCACAAACCCUAACCUUCAAAACCGCUACACCACGAUCCCCACUCUCUCCAAACCCUAAAUUUUCAUAACUGCCAAUCGUCUUUUAAAGCAAGCCUUGUUCCCAAAUUUCCCCACAAACCCAAACUUUCCCCCACAAAAAGAAAAAAAAAAUCCGAUCUUUAGUCUCUACAAAUCACCAUGGCAAAAACUAAAGGAGGGACGGCGUCCGGAAGCACUCAACCACCGAAAGGAAGAAACACCAAACCACCGCCUCCGAAGCGAACUACGAGGCGAACCACCUCUGAAGAGACCUCCACCAAGGUCAC